RNAcentral lists this long non-coding RNA (1167 nucleotides) under Strigops habroptila (Kakapo). Its description in RNAcentral is "lncRNA (ENSSHBG00005020405.1)". The record is from RNAcentral. Lineage: Eukaryota; Metazoa; Chordata; Aves; Psittaciformes; Psittacidae.
AUGCCUCAACAACUUGUUUCCAAAACCACAGAACUGAUCUGCUUGUCCAUGCCUUCUACUCAAGAAAAACAAAAACCAAAGCAAAACACACCACCAACCAACCCACCCGAAAGCCCUUUAAAAGGCAGUGAAAUGGAAAUGUCGAGGACAUCACAGCCCGGCGCUUCCCGCCGAGGGGAAGCCAUGUCCCGCUCCGCCCGUCGCGCCGUGCAGCCGCCCGCAGCCCGGCCCCGGCCGUUCCCGCGGGGAAGGGGAGCACUCGCAGCCCGGGCGGGAUCACCGCCGCCGCGGACAGGUCCCGCCCAGCGGCGGCCCCGCGUCACCGCUGGGGGACUUGCCGUGUCUCCCACCCUUCCCCACCGGCGUUGCAUCAGCUGCGGCCGCACCGUUACGUGGGUGGUGGCUGCGGCCCCGCUCCGCGAGGCCCGCAGGGAGAGGCUUGCGCCGCUGGGUCCCUUCCCUGCCGCUGCCCGGCCCGCGCCCCGGCGGGCUCACCUGGAGCGCCCGCACCGCCCCGAGUCCUCUUCGCUGCAGCUGCCGCCGGCCCGCGCCACCGGGCAGGGCGCUCCACAGCCCUCCUCUUCUUCCUCCUCCUCUUCCUCCUCCGCGGCUGCCAGGACGGACACUCGGAUCUGCACGGGGCCGUUCCCCGCCGCCAGCUCCGGGCCGGCGGCCCCAGUCCCGGGCUCCGCCGCCUCGGGGUCUCCAGGGCCGGCCGGCUGCCGCUGGGCCAUGGCGCUCAGGCUCAGCCCGCCGCCGCCGCGACAGCAGCGAUACCCUGGGCGGCAGCAGCCGUCGCGCGCCGCCCGGCACCCCUCCUCUCCCGGUCCCUCUCCUCUCCCGCUGAGGAGGCGGCAGCGCUGGGGCGGUGCUCCCGGCUCCGCUCCCCGGGCGCGCCCCGGCGCGGCAGCGGGAUGGAUCGUCCCUCCUCCAGCGACGCUGCCCGCAGGGCCUGGGCAAGCCGCCCGGCUGGAGUCUUUAUCGCUGAGCACUGAAUUUGCACUGCUUUUAUUUCAACAGAAAACAACGGGCUCCGCACCGGAGAGCUGCGUCCCAGGUUCUCAUCUCCCUGUACAGCCUCGGGGCUGCACUGGUGUGUCCGGACUAGAGUGUCACGUUUUAAGAAAUUCAAAAAGGUUAUGCUGGGGUGUGGCUUUAAAUACUUAA